CUGCAGAGCAGCCCAGUCCUGGAUGCCCAGGUGUCCUCACUUCCCGAUCACGACUGAGUACAGGAGGCUCACCAUGGAGCUCGCACUCAGCUGGGUUUUUCUUGUCGCUGUAUUAAAAGGAGUCCAGUGUGAAGUACAGCUGGUGGAGUCUGGAGGAGGCUUGGUGCAGCCCGGUGGGUCCCUGAGACUCUCCUGUGCAGCCUCUGGAUUCACAUUCAAUAACUACAGCAUGAACUGGGUCCGCCAGGCUCCAGGAAAGGGGCUGGAGUGGCUUGCGUACAUUAACUGGAAUGGUGGUAGCACAAGCUAUGCAGACUCUGUGAAGGGCCGAUUCACCAUCUCUAGAGACAACGCCAAGAACACGCUGUAUCUGCAAAUGGCAAAACUGAAAACCGAGGACACGGCCACGUAUUACUGUGCAAAAGACACAGUGAGGGGAUGUCAGUGUGAGCCCUGA
Non-coding RNA from Octodon degus (degu), 457 nucleotides. Lineage: Eukaryota; Metazoa; Chordata; Mammalia; Rodentia; Octodontidae. The record is from the annotation of a RefSeq genome assembly.